This 253-nucleotide ribosomal RNA is filed under the name uncultured bacterium. RNAcentral describes it as "partial 16S ribosomal RNA". It matches the Rfam family "Bacterial small subunit ribosomal RNA", at positions 524 to 776 of the family's 1533-position model. The record is from RNAcentral.
UACGAAGGGGGCUAGCGUUGCUCGGAUUGACUGGGCGUAAAGGGCGCGUAGGCGGUUCGUACAGUCAGACGUGAAAUUCCUGGGCUCAACCUGGGGGCUGCGUUUGAUACGUGCGGACUUGAGUGCGGAAGAGGGUCGUGGAAUUCCCAGUGUAGAGGUGAAAUUCGUAGAUAUUGGGAAGAACACCGGUGGCGAAGGCGGCUCACUGGACCGACACUGACGCUGAGGCGCGAAAGCGUGGGGAGCAAACAGG